GGGGAAUAUUGCGCAAUGGGGGAAACCCUGACGCAGCAACGCCGCGUGAAGGAUGAAGGCUUUCGGGUUGUAAACUUCUUUGAUGAGGGACGAAAGAAAUGACGGUACCUCAAAAACAAGCCACGGCUAACUACGUGCCAGCAGCCGCGGUAAUACGUAGGUGGCGAGCGUUGUCCGGAAUUACUGGGUGUAAAGGGCGUGUAGGCGGGGAUGCAAGUCAGAUGUGAAAUGCCGGAGCUUAACUCCGGAGCUGCAUCUGAAACUGUGUUUCUUGAGUGUCGGAGAGGAAAGCGGAAUUCCCAGUGUAGCGGUGAAAUGCGUAGAUAUUGGGAGGAACACCAGUGGCGAAGGCGGCUUUCUGGACGAUAACUGACGCUGAGGCGCGAAAGCGUGGGGAGCAAACA
RNAcentral lists this ribosomal RNA (404 nucleotides) under uncultured bacterium. RNAcentral's name for it is "bacterial SSU rRNA". It matches the Rfam family "Bacterial small subunit ribosomal RNA", at positions 356 to 774 of the family's 1533-position model. The record is from RNAcentral.